GUCGAGCAUGACGGGCCCGUGAACAUAUAAAAAAAAAAGCCCACAGCCACUACCAUUAUAUAUCCAAUGUGAAUAGGAAUAAACAGUGCGUUAUUUAGUGCUGAUAUUAGAUAGGUCAGCGGCUGCUGUCUGGCUCUUGUGUAACGGUCGGUGUGCGCGUUCGCGUGUGAGUGUGUAUGUGUGUGUGAAUCACAGUUCACCUUAGUUGAACUUGUGUGAUCUAGUUCACCGUAGUGUGAGGCUGUUGGUCCGGUCCGGUGGCUGUUGGGAGGAUGAACAGCUCUUCUUGAUCAUUACAAAAAACCAAACUACCCUUAAAAGACGCAGUGUGUCGUCACGUUUUUGUGGGGAUGAGAAGGUUGUGAUAGUUUGCUCGCCGACAGACUGUAUUAACGGUCGUGUGUGUGUUAACCUCGUUAAAGUGUCCGCCCGACAGCGAAUUUUAGCCUGGAAUUGAAUAAUAAAAACGGUCGUCGUGCUUUACCCAACGACUCCCGUCAAGUUUCUUUUGUUUGUUUGUUUUGCCGUUGCCCGUUUCUAACGACAACUGAAGGAGCACAUCCUGAUGAAGCUAAGAAGCGGAUGAAACGCGGACGUAAAUAAUUGGUGCUCGAAAUGGCGAAAAUCUCUUUCGGACUCAGCCCAGAGACAGAAUGCACAUCCACCUUUUAUCUGGUUCGGGGACUUUGGACGACGAUGACAGGCAUGCGUGUUGCAGGACUACGCAGAGGCUGACCUCAGAUUUCACCUCUGUAAUUGAGGAGUCCUGUAGACACGUGCCCACGGGGGCCCAGGAAGGACCACCACCGCUGCAAGCUCACUGCUACCUCUGCGCCGGAGGAAAAGGGAGUCUGAAAUUAUGACGUUUCCUAUGAGUCCCGAAAAAAAAAAGGUUGGUCGAUCAGAUCUUGAUGUGAUUUUCUAAUCAUUUUCCAGCUGUUGUGUUUACUGCUUAUUUGGCUUUACAAAUCCAUUUGGUUGUGUGUGGGCAUGUUUUUUUUUUUUUUACUGAACAUUACAUUUUCUGUAUACAUAUGUAAACUCUUUGCGAAAGAUUUAGACGCUGAUGGACAUUUUAGAUCUUAAACGUGUUGUUUUAUUUUCAUUCGAUGAAUAAGUCCACCAACUGGGAUUGAAAUGCUUCUUGCUUCUUUAAUCUGCUUUUGCUUGUCUUGUUGUGUUUUAAUUAAUUUUUGCUCCAUGGGAGUGUUAUGUUGUCUAUAUUGAGACACUGUUGUUUUUGUCUGGUUGUUUUUUUUGCUGUCCCAGAGCUCUGAUAAAAAGUUGUAGGUUAAAGAAGCUCAUGUUUUUAGUUUUUACUCAUAGCCCUCUCUACAAAAGCAUAAUUAUAAGUAGAAAAUUGUAGGUUCAUUAAAAUGCUUUAGUUUGCACUGGUAGGGCUGGUACUAUACCAGUAGCUUAAGCUUAUGAUUAAUAAAUGUCAUCUGUGCUUUUAUUAUUAACAGAAGAACAAUCGUCCUUAUAUUAGCUGACAGGACAAUAGGAAACAUAAAUGUACACUAGCAGUCAAAAGUUUUUAAUGUUUUUUAACCCCUUAACUGACACCGUCGUGCUAGCGGGACGCCUUCACUGUAUUGCAGUUAAAUUAAUCAUGACAAGCUAUAUAUCGCUGAAAAGGUCUAAGACUCCUAAAUAGAUAUUUUACCACUGUUUUUUUGUUACAAAUUAUGUAGGAACAGUAAUAGAUUAAUUUAUUACAACAGUACACCUCAAAAAAGUCUACAUCGUAACAGGAGGCUUUAAUUUUAUAGCAAUUUUGGAUUGAAAGUAUUUUGUAAAAUAUUUACUUUAUAUAAAAAGCACAUUUUCUUUAACUUUUGUAGUUUCAUUUUUUUAAAUGAUUUCACUUAAUAAUCUGCUGAUUGUCUCCUUUAAAAAGAGACUUUAGGUCCGUAUUCAGAAACGUUAAUGAAUUGUAACAAUUUAAGUUUGGAUUGUGCACUUUCACGUCUAUGUUCAAAAAUGGGGGGUGACAGUUAAGGGGUUAAAGAAGUGUCUUCUGCUCAACA
Molecule: long non-coding RNA, 2030 nt
Organism: Labeo rohita (rohu)
Lineage: Eukaryota; Metazoa; Chordata; Actinopteri; Cypriniformes; Cyprinidae
Exons: 4
Source: RefSeq, a predicted model, not a curated record